AUUUUCUUAUUAUAUAAAGUAUAUUUGGCUUCCAACCAAAAGGUUUAGUUUCUUCUAAAGAAAAUA
RNAcentral lists this transfer RNA (66 nucleotides) under Lauridromia dehaani. RNAcentral describes it as "tRNA-Gly". The record is from RNAcentral. Lineage: Eukaryota; Metazoa; Arthropoda; Malacostraca; Decapoda; Dromiidae.